AGAGUUUGAUCCUGGCUCAGAGCGAACGCUGGCGGCGUGCUUAACACAUGCAAGUCGAACGCGCAGCAUUCUGUAGCAAUACAGGAUGUGGGCGCGUGGCGAACGGGUGCGUAACACGUGGAUAACCUUCCUUGAGGUGGGGAAUAACCCAGUGAAAAUUGGGCUAAUACCGCAUAACAUCGCGAUGGCACAUGCUGCUGCGAUCAAAGGCGCAAGUCGCCACAAGAGGGAUCCGCGGCCGAUUAGCUUGUUGGCGAGGUAAUGGCUCACCAAGGCAAUGAUCGGUAGCCGGACUGAGAGGUUGGCCGGCCACACUGGAACUGAGACACGGUCCAGACUCCUACGGGAGGCAGCAGUGGGGAAUCUUGCACAAUGGACGAAAGUCUGAUGCAGCAACGCCGCGUGGGGGAUGAAGCUUCUCGGAGUGUAAACCCCUUUCGACCCGGAAGAAUGCCCGCAAGGGUAUGACGGUACGGGUAUAAGAAGCCCCGGCUAACUACGUGCCAGCAGCCGCGGUAAUACGUAGGGGGCCAGCGUUGCUCGGAAUUACUGGGCGUAAAGGGUCCGUAGGCGGUGUAGCAAGUCGAUAGUGAAAUCUCUGGGCUUAACCCAGAGGCUGCUAACGAAACUGCUGUGCUAGAGUGUGAGAGAGGCGAGUGGAAUUACGGGUGUAGCGGUGAAAUGCGUAGAUAUCCGUAGGAACAUCCGAGGCGAAGGCGGCUCGCUGGAUCACAACUGACGCUGAGGGACGAAAGCUAGGGGAGCAAACAGGAUUAGAUACCCUAGUAGUCC
RNAcentral lists this ribosomal RNA (792 nucleotides) under uncultured bacterium. Its description in RNAcentral is "bacterial SSU rRNA". It matches the Rfam family "Bacterial small subunit ribosomal RNA", at positions 8 to 796 of the family's 1533-position model. The record is from RNAcentral.